This 518-nucleotide ribosomal RNA is filed under the name uncultured bacterium. Its description in RNAcentral is "bacterial SSU rRNA". It matches the Rfam family "Bacterial small subunit ribosomal RNA", at positions 8 to 518 of the family's 1533-position model. The record is from RNAcentral.
AGAGUUUGAUUCUGGCUCAGGAUGAACGCUAGCUACAGGCUUAACACAUGCAAGUCGAGGGGUAGCAGGGUAGCAAUACCGCUGACGACCGGCGCACGGGUGAGUAACACGUAUCCAACCUUCCCAUAACUCAGGGAUAGCCUCUCGAAAGAAAGAUUAAUACCUGAUAGUUACUUUUUCAAGGCAUCUUGAGAAAGUUAAAGAUUUAUUGGUUAUGGAUGGGGAUGCGUUCCAUUAGAUAGUUGGUGAGGUAACGGCUCACCAAGUCUUCGAUGGAUAGGGGUUCUGAGAGGAACGGUCCCCCACAUUGGUACUGAGACACGGACCAAACUCCUACGGGAGGCAGCAGUGAGGAAUAUUGGUCAAGUGGGCGAGAGCCUGAACCAGCCAAGUAGCGUGAAGGAUGAAACGGUCCUAUGGAUUGUAAACUUCUUUUAUAGUAGAAUAAAGUGAUCCACGUGUGGAUUUUUGUAUGUAUACUAUGAAUAAGGAUCGGCUAACUCCGUGCCAGCAGCAGC